Molecule: ribosomal RNA, 249 nt
Filed under: uncultured Gaiellales bacterium
Lineage: Bacteria; Bacillati; Actinomycetota; Thermoleophilia; Gaiellales
Description: partial 16S ribosomal RNA
Rfam family: Bacterial small subunit ribosomal RNA
Source: RNAcentral
UGGGGAAUCUUGAGCAAUGGGCGGAAGCCUGACGCAGCAACGCCGCGUGCGGGAAGAAGGCCUUAGGGUCGUAAACCGCUUUCAGGGGGGACGAAGCUUCCGGGGUUAAUAGCCUACGGGGUGACGGUACUCCCAAAAGAAGGUCCGGCUACCUACGUGCCAGCAGCCGCGGUAAUACGUAGGGACCGAGCGUUGUCCGGAAUCAUUGGGCGUAAAGAGCGUGUAGGCGGCUUGGUAGGUAUCGUGUGA